GGAGUCGUGCCUGAAUUAAAGGACCACUUUGAUAGAGUGAAUUAUGAGGGUUAAAAUCCCCCCGACUCCU
Molecule: transfer RNA, 70 nt
Filed under: Valencia hispanica
Lineage: Eukaryota; Metazoa; Chordata; Actinopteri; Cyprinodontiformes; Valenciidae
Description: tRNA-Ile
Rfam family: tRNA
About the family: Transfer RNA (tRNA) molecules are approximately 80 nucleotides in length. Their secondary structure includes four short double-helical elements and three loops (D, anti-codon, and T loops).
Source: RNAcentral